UGACAGACUUGAGGUCUGGAAGUCUGAAACGCCUACAACAAAACUGCAGAGUGCAGAGUCGCAGACUCGCAGACUGUCAGACUCCACUACUACACCAAACCCUAUUAUCUUAUUUACUAAAAUUUAUUACAUGAUCGUCUGGAUAAUUUCGGAGAACUCCUAAAAUAAAGAAAACAACCUUCAACAGGCCUUCAGACUGCACUCUUCUACCAAAAUGUAGGUAGCCUACUAAUCUUACUAUCCAUUGAAAUUUGUAACAUCAGCAUCAGUGAAACUUCUGGAAACUUCUAAAAUAAAGUUGCUAGAGGAGAGAUGUCAACAAGAGGAAUAUAACUAGGAGCAGGCAACGGUUAGGCGUUUCUAAAGGGGAGAGGUGUCCCAAAAGCAGCGUCAUUGAACACUUCAGAGAGAAAGAACACGAAGCAAGGAAAAUAAGCUGUUUUUGAAGGCGAGAGAACUCUGAGCACAAGCUAUAUCUGACAGGGAGAGAAGUCUACAAAAGAUGUUACUGAAGAAAGAGAUUAGUCGAAGAAAUGCAGAAAGUUCCCGAAGGGUACAGAAUUCUACAUAAGUUGUUGUCCCUGUAGAAGAGAAAAGUCGAAGAAGAAACACAGCUAGUCCUGAAGGGGAAAGAAGUUUACACAAGUUGCUGUUCCUGUAAAAAAAAAGUCUAAGAAGAAAUACUACUAGUUCCCGAAAGGGACAAAAGUCUACACAAGUUGCUGUUCUUGUAGGGAAUAGUCUCGGAAGAAACAACUAGUUUGCGAAGGGGAUAGAAGUCAUCAAAUGCUGCUAGUUUCUAGUAGUUGAAGAAAAGUAAACAAAUGCUGCCGUUUUUGAAUAAGAGAGAACUACUAGUCCCCCACGUGAACAAAAUAGUUGAAGAAAUUACUAGUUAUCCUUGUUAAAAACAAUUAGCUCCUAAAGAAGAGAACUAGUGGAGGAGACUACUAGUUUCUGUCGAAGAAAUAACUAGUUCCUGGAGAUGAGAACAUUCAAAGAAAUUUAAGAAGUUUACCAACGCUGCUGUUCAUGAAGACUAAUCUCACUUUUCAACCAUUGUUCACCAAAAAAUUUUAUUUCUGGAAAAGAUUGAUAUUUCUAGGAAGUAGCUAUAUAUACUUGGCGACUUGGAAUCUUCUAAGUAAACCAAGAUACUUCCGACUUGAUCUUCUACGUAAAUGAAGAUGCCUUUAUAUCCUCAAUCUUCUAUGUAAUGCAGAAUGCUAUAUACAUACAUAGUCAAUGACUUCGAAUCUUCUUCUAUGUAACCCAGGAUGAUUACAGAAUGUCUGCUGCAUCUUUGUAAAACAUCAGGAAAAUUGGGAUGUAACCAAGUUGAAUCUCUGCUGCAUCUUCAGUAACUUUACCACAGCUGUCAACUAAACUGUGCUGUAACAACGUAACUGAGAUGAAUCUCUCCUGAUCAUGUAAUUAUCUUCAGAAGCGUUACCAAAAAGCCACCGACUAACUUUUGCAACUUUAAUUAAUGUUCUCGGUAACAGCAGGAAGAAUUAAUCUGUUGCGCUGUUAAUCUGAAAGCCCCUGCAUCAGAUUUAUUGGGAAAUUGCAUUCUAUCCCCAAGAAAAUUUCUAAACCUCUGCUUGCUAUGGAAUACGCCUUGUUUAAUGUCAAAGUCUUGUCUUCCUCCCCUGUAAUAUCUUUGUUUCUGGUCCAGAUGAACAGAAUUCAUACCUGUAAACGAUACGAAUAUAAAAUUCUCUGGUAAAUAUAUAUUAAAAUCAAUUUUCACAAUUUAAUUCACAAAGAUUUUAUACUUGAAAAAUCUGUCAAACAAAUUAAUUAUUGAUUAUGCCAACAAAUUUAUUGCACCAAAAAAUUUCUAACAUACUGAAAAUAUGCCUCAAUUUCUGGAAAAUUGGAAGAUUAAAGUGUAUACGUAUAACCAAAGGGCAUAUGAAUUUACAAACUUUUACUGUAUUUUUAUAAGUUCUUCCUUGGACUUUUACUAUUUCUACAUUCAAAUGUGAAGGUUCUCAAGCAAAAUAAUUUAUUUCCAGUAACUCAGAUAAUUAGCAUUAGCUUAAGUUAAGCUGAAAUCUAGCUUCCCUCAGCAAUUAGCUACAGCUUUUAGUGAAAAAAUCUUCAAAUUAGUUUGACCUCCCAGUACAAGACUUAAUACAGUACAAGACUUGAUAGAUAAAAAUUUCGAUAAACGUUAUGUAAAUUACAUCAGCAGAUGAUUCGAAGAGUUG
Long non-coding RNA from Macrobrachium nipponense, 2216 nucleotides. RefSeq lists it as uncharacterized. The transcript has 3 exons. The record is from RefSeq and is a predicted model, not a curated record. NCBI's taxonomy places the organism in Eukaryota, Metazoa, Arthropoda, Malacostraca, Decapoda, Palaemonidae.